RNAcentral lists this unclassified non-coding RNA (24 nucleotides) under Pseudolactococcus piscium. Its description in RNAcentral is "Lactococcus piscium snoU83B". Lineage: Bacteria; Bacillati; Bacillota; Bacilli; Lactobacillales; Streptococcaceae. The record is from RNAcentral.
AGAUUAUAUCUGAAUGCUUUUUCU